AGCUAAUAGAUACCCAGGUAGUCCACGCCCUAAACGAUGUCUACUAGUUGUUGGUGGAGUAAAAUCCAUGAGUAAACGCAGCUAACGCGUGAAGUAGACCGCCUGGGGAGUACGGUCGCAAGAUUAAAACUCAAAGGAAUUGACAGGGGCCCGCACAAGCGGUGGAUUAUGUGGAUUAAUUCGAUGCAACGCGAAAACCUUACCUGGCCUUGACAUGCCACUAACGAAGCAGAGAUGCAUUAGGUGCCCGUAAGGGAAAGUGGACACAGGUGCUGCAUGGCUGUCGUCAGCUCGUGUCGUGAGAUGUUGGGUUUAAGUCCCGCAACGAGCGCAACCCUUGCCAUUAAUUGCCAUCAUUUAGUUGGGCACUUUAAUGGGACUGCCGGUGACAAACCGGAGGAAGGUGGGGAUGACGUCAAGUCCUCAUGGCCCUUAUGGCCAGGGCUUCACACGUAAUACAAUGGUCGGUACAGAGAGUUGCCAACCCGCGAGGGGUAGCUAAUCUCAGAAAGCCGAUCGUAGUCCGGAUUGUUCU
RNAcentral lists this ribosomal RNA (535 nucleotides) under uncultured bacterium. RNAcentral's name for it is "bacterial SSU rRNA". It matches the Rfam family "Bacterial small subunit ribosomal RNA", at positions 767 to 1304 of the family's 1533-position model. The record is from RNAcentral.